This 659-nucleotide ribosomal RNA is filed under the name fungal sp. Its description in RNAcentral is "eukaryotic LSU rRNA". The stretch from base 140 to 293 matches the Rfam family "5.8S ribosomal RNA". The record is from RNAcentral. Lineage: Eukaryota; Fungi.
CAUUACCGAGUUUACAACUCCCAAACCCCUGUGAACAUACCAUUUGUUGCCUCGGCGGUGCCUGCUUCGGCAGCCCGCCAGAGGACCCAAACCCUUGAUUUUAUACAGUAUCUUCUGAGUAAAUGAUUAAAUAAAUCAAAACUUUCAACAACGGAUCUCUUGGUUCUGGCAUCGAUGAAGAACGCAGCGAAAUGCGAUAAGUAAUGUGAAUUGCAGAAUUCAGUGAAUCAUCGAAUCUUUGAACGCACAUUGCGCCCGCCAGUAUUCUGGCGGGCAUGCCUGUUCGAGCGUCAUUUCAACCCUCAAGCCCCCGGGCUUGGUGUUGGAGAUCGGCGUGCCCCCCGGGGCGCGCCGGCUCCCAAAUAUAGUGGCGGUCUCGCUGUAGCUUCCUCUGCGUAGUAGCACACCUCGCACUGGAAAACAGCGUGGCCACGCCGUUAAACCCCCCACUUCUGAAAGGUUGACCUCGGAUCAGGUAGGAAUACCCGCUGAACUUAAGCAUAUCAAUAAGCGGAGGAAAAGAAACCAACAGGGAUUGCCCUAGUAACGGCGAGUGAAGCGGCAACAGCUCAAAUUUGAAAUCUGGCCCUCGGGUCCGAAUUGUAAUUUUGUAGAGGAUGCUUUUUGGUGAGGUACCUUCCGAGUUCCCUGGAACGGGA